Molecule: microRNA precursor, 56 nt
Filed under: Lepisosteus oculatus (spotted gar)
Lineage: Eukaryota; Metazoa; Chordata; Actinopteri; Semionotiformes; Lepisosteidae
Description: Loc-Mir-194-P4_pre stem-loop
Rfam family: mir-194 microRNA precursor family
About the family: The hairpin precursors (represented here) are predicted based on base pairing and cross-species conservation -- their extents are not known. In this case the mature sequence is excised from the 5' arm of the hairpin.
Source: RNAcentral
UGUAACAGCAACUCCAUGUGGAAGAGCUGUGGUUCCAGUGGAGCUGCUGUUACCUG